AACUGAAUAAUAAAAACAGGUGCGAAAGCUUAAUAGAGAAAUCGGUAUAAGCCGAUGCGGUCCCGCCGCUGUAAAGAUGAGCCUGCUGCAAAUGCCACUGAGAUUGAUCUUGGGAAGGCGCAGCACGAGCGUUGAAUCUGAGCCAGAAGAACUGCCUGUUUUGAUAAAGUGAU
RNAcentral lists this non-coding RNA (173 nucleotides) under Phascolarctobacterium sp. Lineage: Bacteria; Bacillati; Bacillota; Negativicutes; Acidaminococcales; Acidaminococcaceae. The record is from RNAcentral.